GGUGGAAGAAUGAGGAAGAAAAAAAAAAGAGAAUAAACGGAGGGGAAAAAGGAAAAAGAAAAAAAAAGAAGAGAAUAAACGGAGGGAAAGAAGGAGGAAGAAGAAGAGAAUAAAAAAUAGUGUAAAUUUCACACAAAUAGUGCAACAUUUGCCUAAAAAGUGUAAUUUUUGUCAUCCCAAAUAGUGUAAAUUUCAUCCAAAUAGUGCAACGUUCGCCUAAAAAGUACAACUCUCGUCCCAAAGAGUGUAAAUUUUAUCUCAAAUAGUAUAAAUUUUAUAUAAAACAGUGCAAUUUUUUUUUAAAAUUGCACUCUUUGAGACAGAACUGCACUGUUUUGGUGAAAUUUGUAAAUUUUAUAUAAAACAGUGCAUUUUUUUUUUAAAUUGCACUCUUUGAGACAGAACUGCACUGUUUGGGUGAAAUUUACACCAUUUCUCUUUUUUCACCACGGAUGUGGGUCACCCUCCAGCUGCCGCUGCAGCAGCAUCUCCACCGUCCGCAUCUCCGUCCCCUCCCCCUCCUCACCAUCACUCUCCUCCUCCUUCUCUACUCGUCGUCUCCGGCGUCGGCGUCGGCGUCGGCGUCUCUGGCGCAGGCUGCGGGGCUGCCGGAGCUGUGCGCAUCGCUGGGGCUGCGGGUGCGCGACUGCCCCGGCAAAGUGUUGAAAGCAAAAUUUGUUAUUUAAUUGAAACCCAAAAUAUGGUACUUAAUUAGUGAUUUAAUUGAGACAAGAAAGCAAAUUUUGUGAAAUUAAGUUAGAUUUUAGAUUCAGAGUAGUUAUUAAUUAAUUAAAUGGUGGCAGGGAUGGAGCAAAGCAUUGAAAGCAGCUCCUCGUUGUCUCCGACGAAAGAGGAGGCGGUAGAGCGGGGUUGGGGGGAGGCGUGGGGGACCCGCGAAGCCGCGCGAGGCGGGUGCGGCGGAGGCUAGAGAGCACGAGGCCAGUCGCGCGCCCGCAGCCCCAGCGAUGCACGCAGCUUUGCCGCCGGAGAUGACGAUGCCAACACUGACGCUGGA
RNAcentral lists this long non-coding RNA (1015 nucleotides) under Ananas comosus (pineapple). RNAcentral describes it as "long non-coding RNA (ACOM_LNC039195)". The record is from RNAcentral. Lineage: Eukaryota; Viridiplantae; Streptophyta; Magnoliopsida; Poales; Bromeliaceae.